AUAUUGGGCGUAGAGCUCGUAGGCGGUUUGUCGCGUCUGCCGUGAAAGUCCGGGGCUCAACUCCGGAUCUGCGGUGGGUACGGGCAGACUAGAGUGAUGUAGGGGAGACUGGAAUUCCUGGUGUAGCGGUGAAAUGCGCAGAUAUCAGGAGGAACACCGAUGGCGAAGGCAGGUCUCUGGGCAUUAACUGACGCUGAGGAGCGAAAGCAUGGGGAGCGAACAGGAUUAGAUACCCUGGUAGUCCAUGCCGUAAACGUUGGGCACUAGGUGUGGGGGACAUUCCACGUUUUCCGCGCCGUAGCUAACGCAUUAAGUGCCCCGCCUGGGGAGUACGGCCGCAAGGCUAAAACUCAAAGGAAUUGACGGGGGCCCGCACAAGCGGCGGAGCAUGCGGAUUAAUUCGAUGCAACGCGAAGAACCUUACCAAGGCUUGACAUGAACCGGAAACGCCUGGAAACAGGUGCCCCACUUGUGGUCGGUUUACAGGUGGUGCAUGGUUGUCGUCAGCUCGUGUCGUGAGAUGUUGGGUUAAGUCCCGCAACGAGCGCAACCCUCGUUCUAUGUUGCCAGCACGUGAUGGUGGGGACUCAUAGGAGACUGCCGGGGUCAACUCGGAGGAAGGUGGGGACGACGUCAAAUCAUCAUGCCCCUUAUGUCUUGGGCUUCACGCAUGCUACAAUGGCCGGUACAAAGGGUUGCGAUACUGUGAGGUGGAGCUAAUCCCAAAAAGCCGGUCUCAGUUCGGAUUGGGGUCUGCAACUCGACCCCAUGAAGUCGGAGUCGCUAGUAAUCGCAGAUCAGCAACGCUGCGGUGAAUACGUUCCCGGGGCCUUGUACACACCGCCCGUCAAGUCACGAAAGUUGGUAACACCCGAAGCCGGUGGCCUAACCCCUUGUGGGGGGAGCCGUCGAAGGUGGGACUG
This 923-nucleotide ribosomal RNA is filed under the name Arthrobacter sp. Its description in RNAcentral is "bacterial SSU rRNA". It matches the Rfam family "Bacterial small subunit ribosomal RNA", at positions 551 to 1470 of the family's 1533-position model. Lineage: Bacteria; Bacillati; Actinomycetota; Actinomycetes; Micrococcales; Micrococcaceae. The record is from RNAcentral.